UGGCGGACGGGUGAGUAAUGUCUGGGAAACUGCCUGGUGGAGGGGGAUAACUACUGGAAACGGUAGCUAAUACCGCAUAAUGUCGCAAGACCAAAGAGGGGGACCUUCGGGCCUCUUGCCAUCGGAUGUGCCCAGAUGGGAUUAGUUAGUAGGUGGGGUAACGGCUCACCUAGGCGACGAUCCCUAGCUGGCCUGAGAGGAUGACCAGCCACACUUGAACUGAGACACGGUCCAG
RNAcentral lists this ribosomal RNA (235 nucleotides) under uncultured Enterobacterales bacterium. RNAcentral describes it as "partial 16S ribosomal RNA". It matches the Rfam family "Bacterial small subunit ribosomal RNA", at positions 96 to 334 of the family's 1533-position model. The record is from RNAcentral. Lineage: Bacteria; Pseudomonadati; Pseudomonadota; Gammaproteobacteria; Enterobacterales.